AUGCCACGGGGGAAGAGAUGGAAAAGGAGGAGAGGAAAAGAGGCACUUUUUCAACUUUGCCUCUAAUAUCUUCGUUAAUUGAACUCAUCAGCUAAAAUCAUUUGUGGAAAUAAAAAAAAAAAAGGAGAGCGAAAAGGAACUGAUCAUAUGCGGGAGAAAUAACUCAGAUGUGAAAAUCCUUCAGACUAGGAGAUUGCACUAUUUAUUCACCCAAGUGUCCUGCUGUGUCUCUGAAAUGCAGUGAUUUAAUGAGGUGCUGCAAAGACUCAUUCGGCCAUCAGCCCUGGCAAUCAACAAGUCCUCCUGAGAUCUCUAAUCCAGUCGCUUCAUACAGACAAGACCAGCUCUGAUCCAGCUCCUCAACAGGUUGGACACCCCACUUCCUGACACACUGGUGCUAUUUCCUUCCUUUAACUCUAGCUCUGAUGUCUACCAGGGCUAACUCUUGGGCAACACAGACAGCAUCAGAAGAGGAGCUGCCUCCCAUGAGUCCAACUGAGUGUUUUUUUCUGUCAGUCAGUCAAUAACUCUGUCCACAAAAUGUAUCCAGCCUCUAAGCAAGACACUGAGGAUUCAGGAGGAACAAACUGGACCCUCAUGGAGGUCCCCAUCUGUCAGAGGAUGCACACACUAGGCAUGUUAUUGCAGAUAAGUGAAUACUGUGCAGAGGACUUCCAAAAGAAACUAUGGGGGCUCAGGGGAAUAAAUGAGGACAGAAAUGACCCCAAGGUAAGGCAAGUGAGCAAGCAAUGUUUUUUUACCACAGUGAACAAACCAAAUACAGAUCACAUUAGGGGUGGGUCUGUUGCUGGCCCUCCUUUCUAGCCUGGGACAUCUUUGCCACUCCAACUAGCUCCUCGAUCCCUCCUGGCAUCCUUGCCCCAUUAGCUGUUGGGCAUCACCCUUCUUGUCUUAUCCCCAGCCUGACACCCAGAGGACGGAAUGAUAACCCCUACCCCACAUCACUACCAGAGGAUCCAUUCUUUUCUCUGAGCUCUCAAUCUUGCAUAGAAGUUCCAGAAGCAAGCAAAAAUGAGAACCAGGUCACUUUCUAAAGUGCAGUCUUGGAAACAGCCAUGGCCAAACACCACAAAGAACACUCCAAACAGGUGACUAAGUCUAGAGGUCCUCCCUGGAGGCCAGCAAGACCCUUCUAGGCUCUCCUUCUUUUACCUUAGCAAGUUCUAGUACUAGUGCCCAAGGCACAGAGGUAUUAAAUGACAA
This is a long non-coding RNA of Chinchilla lanigera (long-tailed chinchilla), 1224 nucleotides long. RefSeq lists it as uncharacterized. NCBI's taxonomy places the organism in Eukaryota, Metazoa, Chordata, Mammalia, Rodentia, Chinchillidae. The record is from RefSeq and is a predicted model, not a curated record. The transcript is spliced from 3 exons.